UGGGGAAUUUUGGACAAUGGGGGAAACCCUGAUCCAGCCAUCCCGCGUGUGCGAUGAAGGCCUUCGGGUUGUAAAGCACUUUUGGCAGGAAAGAAACGUCGCGGGUUAAUACCCCGCGAAACUGACGGUACCUGCAGAAUAAGCACCGGCUAACUACGUGCCAGCAGCCGCGGUAAUACGUAGGGUGCAAGCGUUAAUCGGAAUUACUGGGCGUAAAGCGUGCGCAGGCGGUUCGGAAAGAAAGAUGUGAAAUCCCAGAGCUUAACUUUGGAACUGCAUUUUUAACUACCGGGCUGGAGUGUGUCAGAGGGAGGUGGAAUUCCGCGUGUAGCAGUGAAAUGCGUAGAUAUGCGGAGGAACACCGAUGGCGAAGGCAGCCUCCUGGGAUAACACUGACGCUCAUGCACGAAAGCGUGGGGAGCAAACAGGAUUAGAUACCCUGGUAGUCCACGCCCUAAACGAUGUCAACUAGCUGUUGGGGCCUUCGGGCCUUGGUAGCGCAGCUAACGCGUGAAGUUGACCGCCUGGGGAGUACGGUCGCAAGAUUAAAA
Molecule: ribosomal RNA, 551 nt
Filed under: uncultured bacterium
Lineage: Bacteria
Description: partial 16S ribosomal RNA
Rfam family: Bacterial small subunit ribosomal RNA
Source: RNAcentral